GACGAACGCUGGCGGCGUGCUUAACACAUGCAAGUCGAACGCUGAAGCUCAGCUUUUGUUGGGUGGAUGAGUGGCGAACGGGUGAGUAACACGUGAGUAACCUGCCUCCUUCUUUGGGAUAACGCCCGGAAACGGGUGCUAAUACUGGAUAUUCACUGGUCUUCGCAUGGGGGUUGGUGGAAAGGGUUUUUCUGGUGGGGGAUGGGCUCGCGGCCUAUCAGCUUGUUGGUGGGGUGAUGGCCUACCAAGGCUUUGACGGGUAGCCGGCCUGAGAGGGUGACCGGUCACAUUGGGACUGAGAUACGGCCCAGACUCCUACGGGAGGCAGCAGUGGGGAAUAUUGCACAAUGGGCGCAAGCCUGAUGCAGCGACGCCGCGUGAGGGAUGGAGGCCUUCGGGUUGUGAACCUCUUUCGCUCAUGGACAAGCCGCAACAAUGGUUGUGGUGAGGGUAGUGGGUAAAGAAGCGCCGGCUAACUACGUG
RNAcentral lists this ribosomal RNA (483 nucleotides) under uncultured bacterium. RNAcentral describes it as "partial 16S ribosomal RNA". It matches the Rfam family "Bacterial small subunit ribosomal RNA", at positions 28 to 507 of the family's 1533-position model. The record is from RNAcentral.